Long non-coding RNA from Ailuropoda melanoleuca (giant panda), 712 nucleotides. RefSeq lists it as uncharacterized. NCBI's taxonomy places the organism in Eukaryota, Metazoa, Chordata, Mammalia, Carnivora, Ursidae. The record is from RefSeq and is a predicted model, not a curated record. The transcript is spliced from 5 exons.
UAAAAAAUGUGAAGACAAGAAGUACUAAAGAAUUGAAAUGGUUAAAAGACAAGAUGAAAAUUACUAUCCCAGUGAACCUGAAGUCAUUUCCUUGCAAUAAUCUGGCAUCUCAGGAGUCUGUCCUUUUCAGGGAGAGGCAUUUAGACAAGGAGGAAUGGCUGCUUCAGCCCUGACAGAGCGUCAAGGUGAUACAUGGGAAGCACCCAGAGCGGUGCUGUCACAAUCGUCAUUACCAGGGACCGUUUGGAGAAGUGGAUGCUGGCGACGUUGCAGCAGGAUCUCUCACACCUCUCAGCACCGGUGCUGCUCCCUAAAGUGCUGCAUCCACAGGACUCUGCUCUUCAAGAGAGGGUCUCCGUGAAGGAGAGGAUAACCACCGCACUUCCUGAAGGCAUGAACACUGCCAAGACUUCGCCCUUCUUCCCGAGGCCUUGUCAGUAAGAAAGUGUUUGCUGUUUCAGCAAUCGGUAACAUUCCAAGACGUGGCCAUUGACUUCUCCCAAGAAGAAUGGGGAUUCCUGAUCCCUGCUCAGAGAAAAUUGUACACGGCUGUGAUGUCGGAGAAUUAUCAGAACCUCGUCUGGCUAGAGAGUGAAUCAAUAUGGGAGAGCAAGGAAUAAUGUCUAAGGAAGGGUAUAAAACAGGAAACAGUCCAACAUGAAAUAGUGAUGAAAAGAACAAGCAACACAUGUAAAGAAUAUGCCAAACCUUC